Molecule: long non-coding RNA, 1319 nt
Organism: Numida meleagris (helmeted guineafowl)
Lineage: Eukaryota; Metazoa; Chordata; Aves; Galliformes; Numididae
Exons: 4
Source: RefSeq, a predicted model, not a curated record
AUUGAGCACCUGGAGGGAAGUCCCUGGGAGCGCAGGUGAAGGCAAUUCACUGUGUGACCAGAAGGGGAGGAGCCUGGUUCCACCCCUCUUCAGGCUCAUUUAAGGGCUGACUGCCAGCGAGGAAGGAUCUCUUUCUGGAGCUUCCUCCUUGGUGGAGGCCUUCCCCUGCAGACCCAGAAUCUUCGGAUACGGGAGUUUUGGAGUUUGUCAGCAGCAAAAAGGAGACCAAGGAAUGCAGGGGUGCCAACCGCCUUCUCUUCUUCAGCGGGCACAGCGGAGAGCGCUCCUCAGGGAUCCCGGAGGAGGUGGUAAGGGACGAUGAAAUGUGUCUGAGGACCAGAGGACAGCCAGCGUGGGCGCAGCCUUCAAACAGGGCGAGAAGCACGGCGUCCCCUCGAUCCCCAGGGAGAUGAGGGAACAACUUGUUCUAGGUGUCACGUCCUGGCCCUGGGAAGAGAAGAAAAUAGUCCGGGGCAGUCGAGGCGGAUCCAGCUGGACCGAGCCGGUAGCACUGUGCAGGAGUCUCAUGGCAUUCACGGAUGGGAACACCGGCAGGAAGAAGGGUUGGACCGUGUUCGAUGGAGCGGUCAUGGCAUCCCCUUGGCUGGGGCUGCGGAAGUUGGGUCUGGAGGCUUUCCCAGGUGAGGUGCCCUAGGGAGCGGGCCCUUCCCCUCCCUCUGGCUGAGUUGUUUUGUUUUUGUUUCAGGGUGCUCUGCAACUGGAGGGCCGCCAGCCCCAGCAGGUCCCCGAGCUCUUUCUUCUGGUUCAGGGCCGGACCAAGGGUUGUGACGGUGGCUCUGUAGAGCAAGGUGAGUUGUGCCCUGCCUGGGUUCUAUGGGGUUCCAGGGAAAUGAGCGUGUUGCGUUUGAGGGUGUGCUUUUUGUUUCAGCCCUUCUCCUGGAGGAGAGUGAGAUCCUGGGGCCAGCGGGUAAUGUCCGUCCCGGCAGAGGUGUUGUGUUCUUUCAGGGUCAGGUGCCGCUGGAGUCCAGAGAGGAAGGUGAAGCCCUGAGGCGGGAAGGCACCUGUUGGGUGUUAGCUGGCUUAGGUGUGGCUUUGAGUAAAAUGAGGCUUGGUAGUUGUGGUGGUGGCCUCUUAGGGUGUGGUUUUAAGUGAGAGUGGGGUUGGUGUGAGUGAGUUGCGUUUAGAUGUUGUGUUGAGAGAUGUAGUGCAAUGGGGUUAUUGGUGGCUGCUGUAGUAGGUGUUGAGCAGCUUAGCUGCGGGUGUGACUUGUGGUGUAGGGGUGGCAUGUUUUGGUGGUGCUUUAUUUGUUGGUGUGGCUUGAGUGGUGAUGGGUGUGAGUUGGAAGGGAGAAUGGUGUU